RNAcentral lists this RNase P RNA (419 nucleotides) under Chitinophagaceae bacterium. RNAcentral's name for it is "RNase P RNA component class A". It matches the Rfam family "Bacterial RNase P class A". From Rfam's summary of the family: Ribonuclease P (RNase P) is a ubiquitous endoribonuclease, found in archaea, bacteria and eukarya as well as chloroplasts and mitochondria. Lineage: Bacteria; Pseudomonadati; Bacteroidota; Chitinophagia; Chitinophagales; Chitinophagaceae. The record is from RNAcentral.
GCUACAAGCCAGGCUAUCGCUUUUUCGUCCUGAGUUUAUCGAAGGAUGAAAAGGAGGAAAGUCCGGACAGCACAGAGCAAUGUACCGGUGAAUAGCCGGGUCUCCGCAGCAAUGCGGGGAACAGACAGUGCCACAGAAAAUAACUGCCUUACCUCUCCUUUAGGAGAGGGCAGGGUGAGGUUGAAAAUGUGAGGUAAGAGCUCACAGCUUAUAAUGGCAACAUUAUUCGCGGGUAAACCUUGCAUGCUGAAAUGCCACAUAUACUAUCGGUAAGGGCUGCUCGCCCGUGUGCAGGUGCAAGCCUGCUGCGAUAGAGGGUAGGCAGAUGGAUCCCAACAGCAAUGUUGAGGACAGAUAAAUGAUAGCCACCCUGAGUUUACCAAAGGGGACAGAAUCCGGCUUACAGGCUUGUAGUUUUU